RNAcentral lists this RNase P RNA (387 nucleotides) under Actinomycetes bacterium. Its description in RNAcentral is "RNase P RNA component class A". It matches the Rfam family "Bacterial RNase P class A". Rfam says of the family: Ribonuclease P (RNase P) is a ubiquitous endoribonuclease, found in archaea, bacteria and eukarya as well as chloroplasts and mitochondria. Its best characterised activity is the generation of mature 5'-ends of tRNAs by cleaving the 5'-leader elements of precursor-tRNAs. Cellular RNase Ps are ribonucleoproteins. RNAcentral also lists the same sequence under 1 other name. The record is from RNAcentral. Lineage: Bacteria; Bacillati; Actinomycetota; Actinomycetes.
UGAGUCGGUCGGGUGACCGCGGUCCGGCGCCUCCGGCGACCGGGUCGAGGAAAGUCGGGGCUCCGCAGAGCAGGGUGCUGGCGAGAGCCAGGUCGCGGCGACGUGACGGACAGUGCAACAGAGAGCAGACCGCCGAUGGGUCCCCACCGUGAGGUGAGGAUCACAGGUGAGGGUGAAACGGUGCGGUAAGAGCGCACCAGCGUGCGGAGCGAUCCGUGCGGCUCGGUCAACCCCACCCGGAGCAAGAUCGAACAGAGGGGAUGGGCGGCUCGUCCGCCCGGACCGGCCACGGCCGGUGCGGGCACCCCUCGGGUGGAUCGCACAGAUGGAUGGUCACCCGUGCCGGAGACGGCACGACAGAACCCCGCUUACAGACCGGCUCACCGU